This 407-nucleotide ribosomal RNA is filed under the name uncultured bacterium. Its description in RNAcentral is "partial 16S ribosomal RNA". It matches the Rfam family "Bacterial small subunit ribosomal RNA", at positions 30 to 526 of the family's 1533-position model. The record is from RNAcentral.
AUUGAACGCUGGCGGCAGGCAUAACACAUGCAAGUCGAACGGAGCGGCUGACGGGGGCGUGAUGCCUAGGCAUCUGCCUGGUAGUUGUGGAUAACGGCCGACAACGGGAGCUAAUACCGCAUACUAGCAGAUGGUCCUCGGUCGGAUUAGCUAGUUGGUGGGGUAAAGGCCUACAAAGGCGAGGAUCCGUAACUGGUCUGAGAGGUUGAUCAGCCACACGGGAACUGAGACACGGCCCAGACUCCUACGGGAGGCAGCAGUAGGGAAUAUUGGACAAUGGACGAAAGCCUGAUCCAGCAACGCCGCGUGGGUGAAGAAGGUUUUCGGAUUGUAAAGCACUGUUAGUAGGGAGGCGGUACCUAAAGAAUAAGCCACGGCUAACUUCGUGCCAGCAGCCGCGGUAAUUC